RNAcentral lists this ribosomal RNA (504 nucleotides) under uncultured bacterium. Its description in RNAcentral is "partial 16S ribosomal RNA". It matches the Rfam family "Bacterial small subunit ribosomal RNA", at positions 29 to 523 of the family's 1533-position model. The record is from RNAcentral.
AUUGAACGCUGGCGGCAUGCCUUACACAUGCAAGUCGAACGGCAGCAUGGAGAGCUUGCUCUCUGAUGGCGAGUGGCGAACGGGCGAGUAAUGCAUCGGAACGUACCGUGUAAUGGGGGAUAACGUAGCGAAAGUUACGCUAAUACCGCAUACGACCUGAGGGUGAAAGCAGGGGAUCGCAAGACCUUGCGUUAUACGAGCGGCCGAUGUCCGAUUAGCUAGUUGGUGCGGUAAAGGCUCACCAAGGCGACGAUCUGUAGCGGGUCUGAGAGGAGGAUCCGCCACACCGGGGAUGGGACACGGCCCAGACUCCGACGGGAGGCAGCAGUGGGGAAUUUUGGAGAAUGGGGGCAACCCUGAUCCAGCCAGGCCGCGUGAGUGAAGAAGGCCUUCGGGUUGUAAAGCCCUUGCGGCCGGGAAGAAAUCGCACAGGCUAAUACUCUGUGUGGAUGACGGUACCGGCAUAAGAAGCACCGGCUAACUACGUGCCAGCCGCCGCCGUAA